GAUGAACGCUGGCGGCGUGCUUAACACAUGCAAGUCGAACGAAGCAUUUAUUUCGGAUCUUUCGGGAGAAGAGAUUUAUGACUGAGUGGCGGACGGGUGAGUAACGCGUGGGGAACCUGCCCCAUACCGGGGGACAACAGUUGGAAACGACUGCUAAUACCGCAUAAGCGCACAGGGCUGCAUGGCCUGGUGUGAAAAACUCCGGUGGUAUGGGAUGGCCCCGCGUCUGAUUAGGCAGUUGGCGGGGUAACGGCCCACCAAACCGACGAUCAGUAGCCGACCUGAGAGGGUGACCGGCCACAUUGGGACUGAGACACGGCCCAAACUCC
RNAcentral lists this ribosomal RNA (329 nucleotides) under uncultured Coriobacteriales bacterium. RNAcentral describes it as "bacterial SSU rRNA". It matches the Rfam family "Bacterial small subunit ribosomal RNA", at positions 28 to 339 of the family's 1533-position model. The record is from RNAcentral. Lineage: Bacteria; Bacillati; Actinomycetota; Coriobacteriia; Coriobacteriales.